This is a long non-coding RNA of Peromyscus eremicus (cactus mouse), 395 nucleotides long. RefSeq lists it as uncharacterized. The record is from RefSeq and is a predicted model, not a curated record. Lineage: Eukaryota; Metazoa; Chordata; Mammalia; Rodentia; Cricetidae. The transcript has 3 exons.
GGUCAAGAUGUAAGGACUCUCAGCUCCUUCUCCAGCACCACAUCUGCCUGCAUGCUGCCUUGCUUCCUGCUGUGAUGAUAAUGGACUAAAACCUCUGAAACUGGACAACAACUUGGGAGUGGAUAGCCUAUCCCUGGAGAAGACGGAUUCUCCCUCUAUCAGCAGUCAAUAAUUAUAGCUCUUCAUCUAGGAGCAAGGCCUUGUGAGAUUUGCCUCAUCCAUGUCUAUUGUCAGACAGGAAGCACUAAUCGGAUGAAGUGGAAUGUAUUGUUUAAAAGAGGAAAUCAAUUUGGAAGAAGAACAUGUUGGGGGAAACAUGGUGGAUAUGCUCAUAAUACAUGGUACUCAUGUAUGAAAUCUCAAAGAAUAAAUUAAAAUCCCAAUGAGUUAACUAA